RNAcentral lists this ribosomal RNA (465 nucleotides) under uncultured bacterium. RNAcentral describes it as "partial 16S ribosomal RNA". It matches the Rfam family "Bacterial small subunit ribosomal RNA", at positions 28 to 507 of the family's 1533-position model. The record is from RNAcentral.
GACGAACGCUGGCGGCGUGCUUAACACAUGCAAGUCGAACGGAAAGGCCCUGCUUGCAGGGUACUCGAGUGGCGAACGGGUGAGUAACACGUGGGUGAUCUGCCCUGCACUUCGGGAUAAGCCUGGGAAACUGGGUCUAAUACCGGAUAGGAGCCCUUUUUAGUGUGAUGGUUGGAAAGUUUUUUGGGUGUAGGAUGAGCUCGCGGCCUAUCUGCUUGUUGGUGGGGUAAUGGCCUACCAAGGCGGCGACGGGUAGCCGGCCUGCGAGGGUGGGCGGCCACAAUGGGACUGAGAUACGGCCCAGACUCCUACGGGAGGCAGCAGGGGGGAAUAAUGCACAAUGGGCGCAAGCCUGAUGCAGCGACGCCGCGUGGGGGAUGACGGCCUUCGGGUUGUAAACUCCUUUCGCUAGGGACGAAGCUUUUUGUGACGGUACCUAGAAAAGAAGCACCGGCUAACUACGUG